AUCCGGCUGACGAGUCUCAAAUAGGACGAACUGGCGCGCGUCCUGGAU
This 48-nucleotide non-coding RNA is filed under the name Schistosoma mansoni. The record is from RNAcentral. Lineage: Eukaryota; Metazoa; Platyhelminthes; Trematoda; Strigeidida; Schistosomatidae.